UGACCGAGCAACGCCGCGUGAGUGAAGAAGGUUUUCGGAUCGUAAGCUCUGUUGUAAGAGAAGAACGAGUGUGAGAGUGGAAAGUUCACACUGUGACGGUAUCUUACCAGAAAGGGACGGCUAACUACGUGCCAGCAGCCGCGGUAAUACGUAGGUCCCGAGCGUUAUCCGGAUUUAUUGGGCGUAAAGCGAGCGCAGGCGGUUAGAUAAGUCUGAAGUUAAAGGCUGUGGCUUAACCACAGUACGCUUUGGAAACUGUUUAACUUGAGUGCAGAAGGGGAGAGUGGAAUUCCAUGUGUAGCGGUGAAAUGCGUAGAUAUAUGGAGGAACACCGGUGGCGAAAGCGGCUCUCUGGUCUGUAACUGACGCUGAGGCUCGAAAGCGUGGGGAGCAAACAGGAUUAGAUACCCUGGUAGUCCACGCCGUAAACGAUGAGUGCUAGGUGUUGGGUCCUUUCCGGGACUCAGUGCCGCAGCAACGCAUUAAGCACUCCGCCCUGGGGAGUACGACCGCAAGGUUGAAACUCAAAGGAAUUGACGGGGGCCCGCACAAGCGGUGGAGCAUGUGGUUUAAUUCGAAGC
This 581-nucleotide ribosomal RNA is filed under the name Streptococcus sp. oral taxon 066. RNAcentral's name for it is "bacterial SSU rRNA". It matches the Rfam family "Bacterial small subunit ribosomal RNA", at positions 384 to 957 of the family's 1533-position model. Lineage: Bacteria; Bacillati; Bacillota; Bacilli; Lactobacillales; Streptococcaceae. The record is from RNAcentral.